GAUGAACGCUGGCGGCGUGCUUAACACAUGCAAGUCGAACGGUAAGGCUCCAGCCUUCUUGGUCACACGAUUGGCGAACGGGUGAGUAUCACGCGUGUGACCCGUCCUUCACUUCCGGAUAAGCCUUGGAAACUGCGUCUCAUAUCCCAUAGGAUCUUUGUGUGCAUAUUGUGCUGUAGAGUUUUUUCGGUGUGGGAUGGGUGCGCGGCCUAUCCGCUUGUUGGUGGGGUAAUGGCAGACCAAGGCGGCGCCGGGUAGCCGGCCUGUGAGGGUAGACGGCGACAAGAGGACUAAGAGAGGGCGCAGAAUGGUACGGGAGGCAGCAGUGGGGAAUAUUGCGCAAUGAGCGGAAGCCUGAUGCAGCGACGCCGCGUGGGGGAUGACGGGCUUCGGGUGAUAAACUCAUUUCAACAUCGACAAAGAGUUUCUGACGGUAGAUAGAGAAGAAGCAACGGCUAACUACGUG
RNAcentral lists this ribosomal RNA (466 nucleotides) under uncultured bacterium. RNAcentral describes it as "partial 16S ribosomal RNA". It matches the Rfam family "Bacterial small subunit ribosomal RNA", at positions 28 to 507 of the family's 1533-position model. The record is from RNAcentral.